This 522-nucleotide ribosomal RNA is filed under the name uncultured bacterium. Its description in RNAcentral is "bacterial SSU rRNA". It matches the Rfam family "Bacterial small subunit ribosomal RNA", at positions 170 to 714 of the family's 1533-position model. The record is from RNAcentral.
CUCAUGUGGUCGUAAGACUAAAGGCGCAGCCACUUUUCGAUUGGUCCGCGGCCUAUCAGCUAGUUGGCGGGGUAAAAGCCCACCAAGGCGACGACGGGUAGCUGGUCUUAGAGGACGACCAGCCACACUGGAACUGAGACACGGUCCAGACACCUACGGGUGGCAGCAGUCGAGAAUCUUUCACAAUGGGGGCAACCCUGAUGGAGCGACGCCGCGUGGAGGAUAAGGUCUUCGGAUUGUAAACUCCUGUCAUGCGAGAACAAAGCCCGCGAGGGUCUGAUAGUAUCGCAAGAGGAAGAGACGGCUAACUCUGUGCCAGCAGCCGCGGUAAUACAGAGGUCUCAAGCGUUGUUCGGAAUCACUGGGCGUAAAGGGUGCGUAGGCUGCGUGGAAAGUCAGGUGUGAAAUACGAAGGCUCAACCUUCGAAAUGCACUUGAUACUACCGAGCUAGAGAUCUAAAGGGGAGCUUGGAAUUCUCGGUGUAGCAGUGAAAUGCGUAGAUAUCGAGAAGAACACUUGUG